This is a non-coding RNA of Schistosoma rodhaini, 81 nucleotides long. The record is from Rfam. Lineage: Eukaryota; Metazoa; Platyhelminthes; Trematoda; Strigeidida; Schistosomatidae.
AGCUUUCUAAAUCUGUGUUUAGAUUUCGUCGGACACCAACCCAUUAAGACUGAUGAGAUUACCUCAGAGAUUAAUGGAAUG